GAUGAACGCUGGCGGCGUGCCUAAUACAUGCAAGUCGAGCGAACGGACGAGAAGCUUGCUUCUCUGAUGUUAGCGGCGGACGGGUGAGUAACACGUGGAUAACCUACCUAUAAGACUGGGAUAACUUCGGGAAACCGGAGCUAAUACCGGAUAAUAUUUUGAACCGCAUGGUUCAAAAGUGAAAGACGGUCUUGCUGUCACUUAUAGAUGGAUCCGCGCUGCAUUAGCUAGUUGGUAAGGUAACGGCUUACCAAGGCAACGAUGCAUAGCCAACCUGAGAGGGUGAUCGGCCACACUGGAACUGAGACACGGUCCAGACUCCUACGGGAGGCAGCAGUAGGGAAUCUUCCGCAAUGGGCGGAAGCCUGACGGAGCAACGCCGCGUGAGUGAUGAAGGUCUUCGGAUCGUAAAACUCUGUUAUUAGGGAAGAACAUAUGUGUAAGUAACUGUGCACAUCUUGACGGUACCUAAUCAGAAAGCCACGGCUCCCUACGUG
This 497-nucleotide ribosomal RNA is filed under the name uncultured bacterium. RNAcentral's name for it is "partial 16S ribosomal RNA". It matches the Rfam family "Bacterial small subunit ribosomal RNA", at positions 28 to 507 of the family's 1533-position model. The record is from RNAcentral.